Molecule: long non-coding RNA, 1309 nt
Filed under: Gallus gallus (chicken)
Lineage: Eukaryota; Metazoa; Chordata; Aves; Galliformes; Phasianidae
Source: RNAcentral
AGCAGAAUGUGCAAAAAGCUGAUCUGCCUGGAGAUGAGGAGCAGAUAGGAACCGAGAUACCAGGAGGCAGAGAGAGAGUGAUGGAAGAAGGAAAUGGGAGAACUACAGUGAUAAAGACAGUAAAUGGCACACGAAAAAGGAGGUGAAGAAAUUCUGAGCCAGCAAGAAUAAAAAAAGAAGAAUAGAUGAUGAAAUGUUGGCAACUGUGAGGAAGACUGAAGGAUACACUCAAACUAGCAGCAGACAGUUUUCAGUUUCCUGUAAAGAAGCAGUACUAAAGCUGACUACAGGAACCAACACUUCUGAAGACAACAAAUAACAUCUCAGAGCCCACCCAGAGCAAUGCCAGAAGGAACACUUCCUCUAGCACAAAUACAGUCAGCAUGAUGCCUGAGUACUGGAGGCUCUGUGUGAAACCUGCUCUAAAGAAUUUAACUAAAUGAGGUGACAAGCAAGGAUCAGUCUGAGAAUUUGGGGUUCAUCUUGAGAAAUCACUUCUCCUCAUCAGCAAAAUAUUUACUGUUAUCCAUGCUCACUUUCCAGGUCAACAUGUCUUGCUGGAAUUAAAUGACAUUGCUAUAGUUAUCUUUAUAUUAUUGCAGUGCCUACACAUGCUGGGGGCAGACAGAGACACUGAAGAUAAUUAGCACUGGAAACCUUCAGCGUGAAUGAAGAUGAUUAGUACUCAGAGCCAAGCAGCAGCUCAGUACGUCCUUGAACAAUGCUAAAAACAUGGAAAUGUUAAGAAUGAAUUGGUCAGAGCAGCUGAGCAAGUAUGAGGAAAUUGCUCUCCCCAAACCUGUGCAGAGAAGAAAACCGAGGGACAGAAUGGUGGCAGGGCAUAAAGCUGAAGGGAUGGAUCUUCUCAUAUUCUAAACUAGCUUCUCUAUGUAGCUGGGAUGUGUGACAACAUUCACAUAUAUCAUGGCUGCAGUUUAGUUGAGAGGCACAUAACCAAACAGAGAGGACAAAGGUUUUUUUAGCCUUUAUGUAUAAAUGUGCCUGCACAAAUAAAAGGUUAAAUAUUCAGAUUGUCUUAGCUACUGCGUAAUCUCAAGUAUAAGAGAAAUGAAACACAUGAAAAAAAAUCCGGAGUGAUGUAUCAUGAGAAAAAGUGUGUUUCAAACUAUCCAGGCUUUAAUUUAUGGGCACUUCAAAAAAUGUAUAUGGCCUCCUACUAGCAACGAAGAAAGUUCACAGCCCUGGUUAUUUCCUCAGGCCUACUUCUAUCUCACUUCAGGGCAGCCAUCCAAUGUUGCUGUCCCUCAACCAGUCUUUCUUGCAGAGAUGACCUCUUACUAGUAAAAUU